AAAAUGAAAGGAAAAAUAUUUCAACCCAGCUCUCGGUCUAAAAGAGGACAGAAUGCUUUCUUUAAAAAAAAGGUCUAUGAAUUAGUUUUCCUGAUCUAACUUCUAAUUUUCUGUAUGUUCUGCCAUUUGUGGGAAAUAUUUCUUGGUUUCAGAUUGUUGAUGUUAUUGUUGGGAAAGACGAAAAAGGCAGAAAGAUCCCAGAAUAUCUGAUCCAUUUUAAUGGUUGGAACAGAAGCUGGGAUAGAUGGGCAGCCGAAGAUCAUGUGCUUCGUGAUACCGAUGAAAAUCGUAGAUUACAGCGUAAAUUGGCAAGAAAAGCUGUAGCUCGCCUGAGGAGCACAGGAAGAAAGAAGAAGCGCUGCAGGUUGCCUGGUGUUGACUCUGUCUUAAAAGGCCUCCCCACUGAAGAAAAAGAUGAAAAUGAUGAAAACUGUGAGUAGCUUCACUUCAUUUCCUUUGGCUGAAAGAACUUCCACCUAGAUUGAGAGAAGGAUUCACUGAAAUUCUAGACAGGGAAACACUUCAAGCUCAUUAUGUAUAAUAUUUGCC
This 549-nucleotide small RNA is filed under the name Pongo abelii (Sumatran orangutan). RNAcentral describes it as "retained intron". Lineage: Eukaryota; Metazoa; Chordata; Mammalia; Primates; Hominidae. The record is from RNAcentral.